Molecule: non-coding RNA, 72 nt
Organism: Candida albicans SC5314
Lineage: Eukaryota; Fungi; Ascomycota; Pichiomycetes; Serinales; Debaryomycetaceae
Source: the annotation of a RefSeq genome assembly
GCCAUCAUAGUAUAGUGGUCAUUAUAAAUCGUUGUGGCCGAUUAGACCCAAGUUCGAUUCUUGGUGAUGGCA